Molecule: ribosomal RNA, 497 nt
Filed under: uncultured bacterium
Lineage: Bacteria
Description: partial 16S ribosomal RNA
Rfam family: Bacterial small subunit ribosomal RNA
Source: RNAcentral
GAUGAACGCUGGCGGCGUGCCUAAUACAUGCAAGUCGAGCGAACAGACGAGGAGCUUGCUCCUCUGACGUUAGCGGCGGACGGGUGAGUAACACGUGGAUAACCUACCUAUAAGACUGGGAUAACUUCGGGAAACCGGAUCUAAUACCGGAUAAUAUAUUGAACCUCAUGGUUCAAUAGUGAAAGACGGUUUUGCUGUCACUUAUAGAUGGAUCCGCGCCGCAUUAGCUAGUUGGUAAGGUAACGGCUUACCAAGGCAACGAUGCGUAGCCGACCUGAGAGGGUGAACGGCCACACUGGAACUGAGACACGGUCCAGACUCCUACGGGAGGCAGCAGUAGGGACUCUUCCGCAAUGGGCGAAAGCCUGACGGAGCAACGCCGCGUGAGUGAUGAAGGUCUUCGGAUCGUAAAACUAUGUUAUUAGGGAAGAACAAAUGUGUAAGUAACUAUGCACGUAUUGACGGUACCUAAUCAGAAAGCCACGGCUAACUACGUG